This 497-nucleotide ribosomal RNA is filed under the name uncultured bacterium. Its description in RNAcentral is "partial 16S ribosomal RNA". It matches the Rfam family "Bacterial small subunit ribosomal RNA", at positions 28 to 507 of the family's 1533-position model. The record is from RNAcentral.
GAUGAACGCUGGCGGCGUGCCUAAUACAUGCAAGUCGAGCGAACAGACGAGGAGCUUGCUCCUCUGACGUUAGCGGCGGACGGGUGAGUAACACGUGGAUAACCUACCUAUAAGACGGGGAUAACUUCGGGAAACCGGAGCUAAUAGCGGAUAAUAUAUCGAACCGCAUGGUUCAAUAGUGAAAGACGGUGUUGCUGGCACUUAUAGAUGGAUCCGCGCCGCAUUAGCUGGUUGGUAAGGUAACGGGUUACCAAGGCAACGAUGCGUAGCCGACCUGAGAGGGUGGUAGGCCACACGGGAACGGAGCCAGGGUCCAGACUCCUACGGGAGGCAGCAGUAGCGAAUCUUCCGCAAUGGGGGAAAGCCUGACGGAGCAACGCCGCGUGAGUGAUGAAGGUCUUCGGAUCGUAAAACUCUGUUAUUAGGGAAGAACAAAUGUGUAAGUAACUAUGCACGUCUUGACGGUACCUAAUCAGAAAGCCACGGCUAACUACGUG